Molecule: long non-coding RNA, 4419 nt
Filed under: Malus domestica (apple)
Lineage: Eukaryota; Viridiplantae; Streptophyta; Magnoliopsida; Rosales; Rosaceae
Description: long non-coding RNA (MDOM_LNC003370)
Source: RNAcentral
AAAUAGUCAUUUUGUGGUGACUCUGGAUGGCUCCAGAUUCUGUUUUGGUGGAAAUAGGCCACGGGAAGAAAAAAAGAAAAAAAGGGGGGGGGGGAUGGAAUGGAGAAAGAGGGGAGGACUUACUGAUGGCGGCAAUUUCGCCCCCAUCCCUUGUCUCUGUAUCCUCCUCCACCUCCUCCUGUUCGUUUUCAUGUCCGUCUGUGAGUUGCUUAAAGCGCGCUUACGAUGGCGUGUCGGUGAGUAAUCACCGCUGACUUGGGCGGUUGGCAGCGGUUAGCUGCUCAUCUUCUGAAUUGGGCUCCGGUUCCGACUCCGUGAACUGCUGCAGGUAUGGCCACUACAAGAACAUGACUUUCCUUGUAUUUGUACUUUAAAUUGUAAUGAGUAGCCGCUUAAUUUCAGUUUUGUUGUCAGAAUCACGGGUAAUUACGUGUUUAUAGAAAUUGAAUUAAGGGUUUUCUGAAGCCCUUGAAUAUAUAUAUUAUCAACUGACUGUAGUUAGACGUUACUUGUUAUUCCUGGUAGUAAACUAGUAACUGGUAAGAUUUAUUAAUCAAAAAGCAAGUGUGGAUGAAAAUUUACCAUAGAACACAUUUGCAUUGAGGAGGAUUUGCCAGUGUUGUAUUUCAAUACUUAAGUCAGUCGGUGGCAUGUACAAAACAAAGUUGUAUAUUUUGGGAAUGUCAGUUUACAGCCCAUUCAUUAGAGAGUGACUCGGAUUUAUGUGAUAUGGUUACAUAAAUGUGGUUUCCAUAUAAAUAUGGUUAUGUAUGUAUGUAUGUAUGUAUGUAUGUUCGAACUUGAUUUAUGGUGGUUAAUAGACUAUUAAUUAACCGUGAUUUUAUUUUGUUUUUGGGGCGGUAUAACACCCAUUUGGUGUGAUUUGGUUGUGGAAGCAAAUGUUGGAUAUUUCCGUUACCAGAAUAUUAUUUGGAAAUGGAUAAAGGACUGAAUGGUGAACUACGAAAGACUUAAUCCCAUUCAAGGGUACGUAAGUAGUCUAAGGCCAUCUCCAACCGAAAGGUCUAGAGGGUCAGAGGGCCGAAAAUAGCCCAAAACCCGUCUCCAACUGAGGGCUAGGCCAGAGCGCUCUGGAAUCUGGAGGGUCCCACGGAAUCGGAGAGGGUUGGAGGGUUGGCCAUUUUUUUUUAAUGUUUUGUUAUUUCUGUCGGUUAUAGCCGACAGAAAUAAUAUAUACUAUAUUAUUAGUGUCGGUUAUAAUCGACACUAAUAGCAAUGUUAAUAUAAUAGCAGUUUGAACAGUGUCAGUUAAAACCGACACUAAUUUGAAUUCCAACGGCUAGCCAGUCACUAGCCGUUGUAUUCAUUUUUUUUUUUUUUAUAAAUUUAAACCUUUUUUUUUUCUAUAACUUCCUAUAACUUUUUUUCUAUAACUUAUAUUUUACAAAUUUUGGUUCAUAUUUUUUUUCGUAUAACUUCUAUUUUACAAAAUUUGUUUCAUAUUUUUUUUAAAUUCCAUUUUUUUCCUAUAACUUCUAUUUCACAAAAUGUGUUUCAUAUCUUUUUUAAAUUCCAUUUUUUUCCUAUAACUUCCAUUUCACAAAAUUUGUUUCAUAUUUUUUUUAAAUUCUAUUUUUUUUCCUAUAACUUCCUAAGUCAUUAUACAACAUUAAAUUAAAUUAAGUAACAUUAAACAACAUUAAACAAUAUGAAACAACAUUAAAUAACAUUAGCUGUUGGAUUUGAAUUUAAGUUGUAGUUUUUAAAUAAUAAAUUAUGUUUGGCCCUUUGACCUUUGGUUAGAGGCGGUUUUUUGUGACAGGGCUAAAAUGAGCCAUCUGGCCCUCGGUUGGAGACGGAGACAAAUAUGGUCAUGUACUGUUCAUUAAAAUAUUAAUAUCUUGAAGGAUCUCGGAAGGCCAGAGGGCUAAAACGAGCCCUCUAGCCAGCGAUCGGUUGGAGAUGGCCUUACAGGGUUAGAUGCAGCCUUAAAUACUCGAGAAUUAAUCUUUAGAAUGGAAAUUGAUCUAAUAAAAGAAAAUGGUGAUAAAUUGAUAAUAUAAUCGUAUUUUUUGGUAAGAAAAUUUUUGGUAUUAAAUCAUGGGUGCAAUUAAGGCAUUUCAUUAAGGAAUCACAAUUAAUGGUAGUUAACUAAAGAAGAAUUUAGUUUAGGCCUAUCAUUGCAAUUACUUCCGAAAAUAAAUAUUUCGGGGCGGGGUGUUACAAACACCAUGUCCGGACGAGUUGCAUAUUAGGUAUACGUUCAAUGUUAGAGGUUCCAAGUAGGACAAUAUUAGGAAAACCUAAGCUUCGAAAUAUGCAUAGGUAAUUCAUAAGUAAUUGGAAGAAUUACGUAAGAUUAUUAAGGUGACAACGAAAUUCUAUCGUCUCUUUAAAUUGAUUUUCUUUAAAUUGUUUUCUAGUUGAUUUAUUUAAUUUUUUUUAUUUUAAAUUCGUUUUUAUAUAUUUUAAGUCACAAAAUCAACAUUUUUUAAAACUUUGUUUUAAGUAAAUAAUUAAUAUUUGAUUUUACAUAAAUUAUUUUAGUAAUCCCUGUGGUGAACGACCUUAGUUAAGCCGCUUAUAAUACGAUUAUCUUGUAAGUAUUUUUAAGUUGUUGCAAUCAUAUUUACAAUAGGAAUAUGAUUGUGUAAAUCCUAGAAGAUUUAGGAAUGUAUCUUAUAUUCCUAUUAAGAGUUGAUUACUGAUUAAGAGUUGUAAUCCUAAAGGGAAAGACUUUUACCUAUCCUAAUACUAUAAAUAAAGGCACAAUGGGGUGAUACAAACACACCUCACAAUUACAUCACUCUCUCUUCUCCCUCUCUAUACCGCCGGCCCCCCUCUCUCUAAUCCCUUAAAUUAGUUCAAUCAAAUAGGCCUACAACACGUUGCACGCUCUUGCCAGAAACUAAGGAAUUGACGGAUCGUAGGAGGAGACUAUCUUUUACAAAAUUCAAAGGCUUAUAUUUUUUUUCUGUUAAUCAAGUACGCUUAAAAUAAUAAGAUAUUUGAGAUGUCCACGAAGCAUGAAAACAUUCAUCAUGAUGCAUGAACUCCCUAUGUUUAUAUUUUCCUUACAAAAAAAAAAAAAAUAUAUAUAUAUAUAUAUAUAUAUAUAUAUUUGUUUCAUGCAUUACGCAUUUAUAUUUGCUAUGUGGAAUUUGUGAGUCAAAACAUAUAAAUAAAUUAUAAGCAAUUUAGGAUUUUUCAAACCCUAGGGAUAUAAAUAAAAUAAAAUAAAAUAAACAUUGGGCAAUGUGCGGCACCACCACUGCAUCAUCCAUCGUGGCAUCGUCGGACCAACACUGGCUUGAAGCCCAAUCGAGUGUACCACACGGCAGUGCCUUUGGGCUUACUGCAGGCUUGAAGUCCUUUAAGCUCAACCAAGAAAGCCUGCAGCCUUCUUGGCCUGUUGUCCCAUGGUUUAAAACCUGCUUGAAGUAGUUUGUAGCCCAUUGGGCUGUGUCACACGCCCCGGCCCGCUUCCCGCAUCUUUGUCUACUGGGUUGAAGCCUGCCCUGACCCAGCCUCGACUGGGCUCCCUAUGUGAACCCAAGGCCAACGAUCUAUGGGCCUAACUCAUGCCCCCCCCCCAUUUGGCCCAAAGCUAGUAGCGCUGCUGCUGGGCUCCCUUGCUUACGGCCCGUGGCCUGCAGCCACCUCGUGGGCUACCUUUUGCAGCCAACCCGAGCCCAAAUCAUUUUUGGGAUAUAUUUUUUUUGAUCCAAUGCUAUUAUUUAUCAUUUUAAAUAAUUCUAACCCGAAUGUUAUUAUUAGUUUUGCUUCUACAAUCGAUCUUGUAUGGUCCGAUUUAUUGAAUUAAUUACAAGUGACUCGCAGUCCAUUAAUCUGAUAAUUAAUCCAAAAUUAUUAACCUGAAUAUCACUUUUGGACAUUAACAACAAUAAUUUAUUUUUAUACUUUGAACUGUUGACAUACUUUUGUAGUAACGAAGCUCUCACAAUUGAGUUUCCGAAGAAACUCAAAUCUAUUACACUUAAAUCAACAUAUUGCAUUAUGUGUUUCUUGCAGGAACCUCUUCUUAUGAACUAAUCGUUCAUAAAAACUAAUUUGAACCAGUAGUUUCAAAAUUAGUGUUUUUGAAACCUGAAGUUUUCAUUCAAAACAUACUACAUGAAACCUGUAGUUUUCAUGCAUAAAUUAAACCAAUACAUGUCUAUAAAACCUGUAUGUUCUACGAUAUAUGUCUAUAGCUUACCAUAUGACUAAUCACGUUUUUUUUGUACCUCUUGUUAUAGGGACAUGUCGAACUUGAACAAGCUUGAUUUAACCGCUCUAGAAGUCUUUGAAAGAAACUAUCUGAAGUGGGUUCAAGACGUGAAGCUUUAUCUCACUACAAAGCUUGAUUUAACCGCUCUAGAAGUCUUAGGUUUCUUACCAAAAGAGAAUUUGAACCACAUUAUUGUUAGUCCAUUGUAGGCUAAGGUUUGAUUUGGG